AUUAAAAGCCAUGUGAUCUUAAACUUCAUUAAAAAAAAAUACAGCAAAAUGCUAUAAGCUAUACCAUGAUACCAUUUUCAGUGGGAUAGAAAUUCAUGGAAUUUAUAUUGGUAACCUGGAGUCAGAAUUGGAGAGAAGGGUUACCAUCUGAAUGUCAGAAACACAUCUUAAUUAUAAAUAUACAAUUUAGGAUCCACCAAAAAUUCAGUAUGAGGACUGGAAUGAAGAAUGACAGCUCAGGCAUUUAGCUUUAUGAUAAAUGACUUCACUCUGAGAGGAUUCCACUAUAGUAUUGAAAGUGCUUAUAUUAUGGUAAAAAAGAAAAUGUCAAAACAGUUUCCCGGAUUUGAGGAGAAAAUGUGCUGCAUCAUAUGUCUUGAUCAGCCUGUCUUUUAUUAAAUCUCUGAAUAUUGACUAGUCUUAUGCUACUGUAAAUGUAUUUCUUUCCAAGGCAUAGGGAAUGUUUUAAUAAUAUAAUCUUGACUAUUUCUGAAAUCUCAGGGUUGACCCCUUUAUGUUGAAAAGUCUUAGACUCUCAUCCAGUUCAAUCUAUCAGGCUGAGAAGCCAAUUUUGAAAAGCACAGACCUUAGGAAGGACUGUGGAAUAGGUUAUAGGCUGCCAAGAACUAUAUGGGGCUGCCCAAUGCCAGCCCAGGAGUAAGAUUAAAGGAUGUGCCUAUUUUCCCUCAACUAAGGCAUAAAAUUGUGAAUCAUUGUUUAUAAUAGAUCACACUAUAAAAUAUCAAUUAACUCAAAUGGUGCGAAAUGGUUGAUAUUUUGGUUACCUGGAAGUGAACAGAAAACCCCUUUAUUUAGUACAACCACCUUUUGGGAAUUCUAGGUCACAGAAUUCAACAUUUCUCUAAGGAAUGAGGACCAGGAGAAGCUUAUCAAAUAGGACUUAGCAAAAUAAGAUACUUUCCAAGAUAACCUUCUACCAGGACACAUUUAUUAGGGAUCUCUUUUGUAUAUUCCUACCCACUACCACUUUCAAGCUUGUAACUUAGUAUGACGUGAGAUUUGUGACCCCCAUUUUACAGAUGAGGGUUGUUGAGGUUUUGAGACUUGCUAGAACCACGAUGUUCACUGUCUUUACGUCCUAGUUGUUUACAACUCUAAAUCCACUUUCUUCCUGGGCUAUUCUUCCUCAGUUUAAAUUCUGGCCCACAUGUUCCAUCAGCCAAAUUGGCAAUGCUCUCAAAGAGACUUUGAAAGAAGCACAGUGCAUCCCUGUGGCCAGUAUGAUAAACAGCAGGAAGCAAGCUUUCACAUUUUAAGCAAAGGGAAAACUUAACAGCAUGUAAUAGUGGCAACCUUAAGAACACUUGAAAUAUGUUGUCCCUAAAUUAAGAUCUUGGAAACUCAUAUAAAAGGCUUCUUCUCUUUUAGGAGGUUUUCAUUUUUUCUGGUUUUUGUUUUGAUUUAUUUUUAUUAAAGUUUGGGUUUGUGUAUGUAUGCAUUUUGCAAUAUAAGAUUUUCUUUUAUUUUUAUAAUUUCCUACAUGACAUACCAUAGUACAAAAACUUUUACAUGCCUAAUUUCAUUUAAUCCUCACAAUGGCCUUAUGAUAUCAGUGCUACUAAUUACCACUAUUCCUCAUUCUAUAAUGAAGGAAACUGAAUUUCAGAGAUGCCAUGUAACAUGACUGGUUAUGCCGUGGAAGCUAGGACUCCAGCUCAGGAUUAUAGGAGCUGAGACAACAUGAUUAUUUGAAAUGCUAAUAAAAUUAAUCAAGAGUUUGCUCACAUAUUUGACAUAAUUGAUCAUUGAUGACAUCUCUUGAGCCUCAAUUCUUAUGCAGAGCUUCGCUAGCUUCACCCAAGACAAAUGUACAGUCGCUGAAGCCCUUCAAAGCACCUACAAAGAUCUUUCCUUUUACCAUCUAGAGCAGUUGCAGGCCAGACUCUGAGAAGAUUCUAUUACCCUUAAGUGGAAUACAUCAUGAGAAUCAAUCAAAGUCAGUAACUUCCUACUAACAGACUGUUUGAAAACAUUUUACAUCAUCGUUCCAUUGGAUAUUUUAACGGUUUGUCAAGCAGAUAAAAUUCUGUCUUGUUUCAGAGAAAGAAACUGAAAAGCCAACUAACCUCUGGGCACAUGUUGAAUAUAACCACGGAGGACCUACUUCAAAAAACAUAAAUAAAUCCAAAAAAUGGAGUUGGAUUACCCUUUUUCUUUUCAUAGAGGAACUCUGGGAUUCCCAGACACAAGACUCUAAAUCUGUUUUCUAAAGAACAAUGGGGGAGAGAUGGUUAAGAUACCACAAAGACAAUUAUUUCAUGGACCUUCAGCAUUAGUCAUGCCAUUCAUCUUCUAUGUGAUUAUGAAGUAUGGUCAAUUACAACGUAGUUUAUCCAAAUUGAUAAGGUUGCUACAGAAGAAUUUCAUGACUAAACACUAUUUUAUGUUGAGGAUAUUUGCUACGUAUGCACUUAGACAAAACACCAAAUGUAUUUCCUUUAAGAAUGGGGUAAAGAGGGAUAUGAGACAAAUGCUAUAGAGCUGAGGGAAAAGAAUCACUUAAAAGAGUAAAAAUUUGGAUUGUCUGACCAAUGGCUCAGAUAAAAUUGAAGUCAUUGAUUAAAAUGGGGACACAGAAUUCAAAGAAUCAUAGGCUAUAGAUAUGUUUAAGCUGAAAAGAAGCUAACUAUACAUUUCCUUCAAGAACUUCAAAUGAACAAAAUAACCCAAAAUAAUCAAGUGCCUUGCCUGAGGUCACACAACUCUUGGAUAGUAAAAUGGUCUCAAUUUUCACGGCUACCAGUUCUGUUAUUACCGAAACUCUCCACUUCUCUCAACUGCCCAUUUUAUUGUCAUAUAGGUACUGAAAAAUCAAAUAACAAAUAAAUAGCUGUAUCAAUUCAGCCAGAUACAAAAUACCACUUUUUUUUUCCUUCCUUCAUUGCCUUACUUUGCCCCAGUUUAACCAUUCUCUUUGUCAAGUUUUCAUUUUAUGUUUUGAUUUCCAUUGUUUCUUCCUCUUGGUUAUCUUCCUGGACCUCUCUUCUACUUAGUGAAAAUCUUUUAAGGAAAUGUGUGUUAAGAGGUUUCUGGCGGAAACAUCUAUUUCGAUCAAUAAGAUAGUCAUAGCAACUCCUUUCAAGAGUAUUUACAAAUUCAGUUGAUUCUGCCUCAUUUAGUGCAGGCUGUGGAUCAGGUACUAUGCAGUGUGCUUUACAGGUGUUUUUUCCAUUCACUCCUCAAUUCCAUUCCCACAGAUAAGGAAAAGGAAGGUCAAGGAAGUUAAUAAUUAUAAGACCUGGGCUAUUCACUUACGUGGUGGGUUCAGAAUUCAAACUCAGAUCUCAAUCCAUCAGUAAGUACAUCUUAUUUUGAUGCAAAAAGGAACUUAAGUUUUCCAUUCUAAAAAGUAGGCUUCCACAAGCUGUUUCUUUUCUCAGCCUCUGCAAGUUAUGAAUUUAUAAACAGAUGAAACCAUGACAGUAGAUGAAGCUAUCCCCAUUUUCUUUGACCAUUUCCAUCUUAUUAAAAUUUUAAACAUAUUAAUUACUAAUUAGACAAACCUAGAUGGCAAUCACAGAGAUUUAAUUUAUCCAAUAUCAUUUAUCUGAGGGUGAGAUUUGUCACUUGGAAAUGAUAAUUAACUCAUCAAAAAUGUUUUGGGAUUGGAAGGAAAAAAUUAAAAGGAAGUACUCAGGAUUUAUGCUAAAAAAAAAGCAGCAGAGAAUCUCACUGUUACUGAAAAUAUGAGUGCAAGGCAAAACAGCUUUCCAAUAGGUAUUAUUUUGUGCUUCCAAAGCUAAGAAUUCUUAGUAAAGAGGACACAAUUCCAGAAAGAUCUCUGGAUAUUGUAACACUUUAUUAUUUUUUUUUUAGGGCCCACCUUCGGCUCAUGGAGGUUCCCAGGCUAGGGGUCGAAUUGGAGCUGUAGCUGCUGGCCUACGCCACAGCCACGCCAGAUCCAAGCCACAUCUGCAACCUAGACCACAGCUCAGGGCAAUACCCAGAUCCUUAACCCACUGAGUAAGACCAGGGAUGGACCCUGCCCCCUCAUGGAUGCUAGUCAGAUUCAUUUCUGCUGAGUCACGACGGCAACUCCUAUUUUAAUGUAAGCUUAGUGGUUUGUAAAUAUUGGUUUUCUAAUGCCUAAGAGAAUUAGAAUUUGAUUUUCAAAGACCUUUUUUGUUAUUGUUGUUGUUGUUCUUAUUUUUUCUGUUUUCUAAGGAAGAGGUAAACUAUGUCUAUACUAAGUCUUUUUAUAUUGUCUCUCUGCCUCUAUAACAUACAAACACUGAAGACAGACACAGAGUAAGUAACAAAUUGUAUUAUCAAUGAUACUGAGCAAAGAAUGUUAGCUUUUUUUUCUUCAAAGUUUAUUGAGAGCUUAU
RNAcentral lists this long non-coding RNA (4349 nucleotides) under Sus scrofa (pig). RNAcentral describes it as "lncRNA (ENSSSCG00015040344.1)". Lineage: Eukaryota; Metazoa; Chordata; Mammalia; Artiodactyla; Suidae. The record is from RNAcentral.